GUUGUACUGUACCGACUUUACCCUUUCUGUGUGUGGACCAAAAUCAGGUUUAAUUUUUCUCCAUAAAUUGAAACCAGCUGUCAGUCCUUCUGCACACAGAAA
This is a long non-coding RNA of Thalassophryne amazonica, 102 nucleotides long. RefSeq lists it as uncharacterized. NCBI's taxonomy places the organism in Eukaryota, Metazoa, Chordata, Actinopteri, Batrachoidiformes, Batrachoididae. The record is from RefSeq and is a predicted model, not a curated record. The transcript is spliced from 4 exons.